RNAcentral lists this unclassified non-coding RNA (300 nucleotides) under plant metagenome. RNAcentral describes it as "partial contains small subunit ribosomal RNA, internal transcribed spacer 1, and 5.8S ribosomal RNA". The record is from RNAcentral.
UUUCCGUAGGUGAACCUGCGGAAGGAUCAUUAUUGAAUAAACCUGAUGUGGCUUUUAGCUGGCUUUUCGAAGCAUGUUCUCGUCCGUCAUCUUUAUCUCUCCACCUGUGCACAUUGUGUAGUCUUGGAUACCUCUCGAGGCAACUCGGAUUUUAGGGUCGUUGUGCUGUACAAGUCGGCUUUCCUUUCAUUUCCAAGACUAUGUUUUUAUAUACAACAAAGUAUGUUUAAAGAAUGUCAUCAAUAGGAACUUGUUUCAUAUAUAAUUAUACAACUUUCAGCAACGGAUCUCUUGGCUCUC